CUAUACAUGCAAGUUGAACGGGAUUAAGUAGCAAUACUUAUGAGAGUAGCGCACGGGUGCGUAACGCGUAUGCAAUCUACCUUUAACUGGGGAAUAGCCCAAAGAAAUUUGGAUUAAUACCGCAUAACAUUAUUGAAUGGCAUCAUUUAAUAAUCAAAACUACGGUGGUUAAAGAUGAGCAUGCGUGACAUUAGCUAGUUGGUGAGGUAAUGGCUCACCAAGGCUCCGAUGUCUAGGGGGUCUGAGAGGAUGAUCCCCCACACUGGUACUGAGACACGGACCAGACUCCUACGGGAGGCAGCAGUAAGGAAUAUUGGUCAAUGGACGCAAGUCUGAACCAGCCAUGCCGCGUGCAGGAUGACUGCCCUAUGGGUUGUAAACUGCUUUUGUACGGGAAGAAACCCCUCUACGUGUAGAGGGUUGACGGUACCGUAAGAAUAAGGAUCGGCUAACUCCGUGCCAGCAGCCGCGGUAAUACGGAGGAUCCAAGCGUUAUCCGGAUUUAUUGGGUUUAAAGGGUGCGUAGGCGGCCUAUUAAGUCAGUGGUGAAAGCCUGGAGCUUAACUCCAGAACUGCCAUUGAUACUGAUGGGCUUGAGUAUAGUUGAGGUGGGCGGAAUGUGUCAUGUAGCGGUGAAGUGCUUAGAUAUGACACAGAACACCGAUUGCGAAGGCAGCUCGCUAAACUAUAACUGACGCUGAGGCACGAAAGCGUGGGUAGCAAACAGGAUUAGAUACCCUGGUAGUCCACGCCCUAAACGUUGAUUACUCGAUGUGUGCGAUACACUGUACGCGUCUAAGCGAAAGCAUUAAGUAAUCCACCUGGGGAGUACGGUCGCAAGACUGAAACUCAAAGGAAUUGACGGGGGCCCGCACAAGCGGAGGAGCAUGUGGUUUAAUUCGAUGAUACGCGAGGAACCUUACCCGGGC
This 929-nucleotide ribosomal RNA is filed under the name uncultured Bacteroidota bacterium. Its description in RNAcentral is "bacterial SSU rRNA". It matches the Rfam family "Bacterial small subunit ribosomal RNA", at positions 49 to 980 of the family's 1533-position model. Lineage: Bacteria; Pseudomonadati; Bacteroidota. The record is from RNAcentral.